RNAcentral lists this ribosomal RNA (252 nucleotides) under uncultured bacterium. RNAcentral's name for it is "partial 16S ribosomal RNA". It matches the Rfam family "Bacterial small subunit ribosomal RNA", at positions 524 to 776 of the family's 1533-position model. The record is from RNAcentral.
UACGUAGGUGGCGAGCGUUAUCCGGAAUGAUUGGGCGUAAAGGGUGCAUAGGCGGCCUGCUAAGUCUGGAGUGAAAGGUACCGGCUCAACCGGUACAGGCUCUGGAAACUGGCGGGCUAGAGAGCAGGAGAGGGCGGUGGAACUCCAUGUGUAGCGGUAAAAUGCGUAGAUAUAUGGAGGAACACCGGUGGCGAAAGCGGCUCUCUGGCCUGUAACUGACACUGAGGCUCGAAAGCGUGGGGAGCAAACAGG